RNAcentral lists this transfer RNA (84 nucleotides) under Fusibacter sp. A1. RNAcentral describes it as "tRNA-Leu". It matches the Rfam family "tRNA". Rfam says of the family: Transfer RNA (tRNA) molecules are approximately 80 nucleotides in length. Their secondary structure includes four short double-helical elements and three loops (D, anti-codon, and T loops). RNAcentral also lists the same sequence under 1 other name. Lineage: Bacteria; Bacillati; Bacillota; Clostridia; Eubacteriales; Fusibacteraceae. The record is from RNAcentral.
GCGGACGUGGUGGAAUGGCAGACACGCUGUCUUCAGGUGGCAGUGGGGCAACCCGUGCGGGUUCGAGUCCCGCUUUCGGCACCA